This 814-nucleotide ribosomal RNA is filed under the name uncultured bacterium. Its description in RNAcentral is "bacterial SSU rRNA". It matches the Rfam family "Bacterial small subunit ribosomal RNA", at positions 8 to 796 of the family's 1533-position model. The record is from RNAcentral.
AGAGUUUGAUCAUGGCUCAGAACGAACGCUGGCGGCGUGGAUAAGACAUGCAAGUCGAGCGCUGAUUCAAGGGUAGCAAUAUUCUUGAGUUGGAGCGGCGCAAGGGUGCGUAACACGUGGGCAAUCUGCCGUGAAGCCUGGAAUAACUCGCUGAAAGGCGAGCUAAUACCGGAUGUGAAAAUUGGAUGGCAUCAUUUGAUUUUCAAAGUUGGGGACCGUAAGGCCUGACGCUUCAUGAUGAGCCCGCGGCCUAUCAGCUAGUUGGUGAGGUAACGGCUCACCAAGGCUAAGACGGGUAGCUGGUCUGAGAGGACGACCAGCCACACUGGAACUGAGACACGGUCCAGACACCUACGGGUGGCAGCAGUCGAGAAUUUUUCUCAAUGGGCGAAAGCCUGAAGGAGCGACGCCGCGUGGGGGAUGAAUGGCUUCGGCCCGUAAACCCCUGUCAUUCGCGAACAAUGCCUGCAGUUUAAUACGUUGCAGGUUGAUAGUAGCGGAAGAGGAAGGGACGGCUAACUCUGUGCCAGCAGCCGCGGUAAUACAGAGGUCCCAAGCGUUGUUCGGAUUUACUGGGCGUAAAGGGUGCGUAGGCGGUCGGGUAAGUCUGAUGUGAAAUCUCCGAGCUUAACUCGGAAAAGCAUUGGAUACUAUUCGGCUUGAGGUCUGGAGGGGGGACUGGAAUUCUCGGUGUAGCAGUGAAAUGCGUAGAUAUCGAGAGGAACACCAGUGGCGAAGGCGAGUCCCUGGACAGGUCCUGACGCUGAGGCACGAAAGCUAGGGGAGCAAACAGGAUUAGAUACCCUAGUAGUCC